This 715-nucleotide ribosomal RNA is filed under the name Oenococcus oeni. Its description in RNAcentral is "bacterial LSU rRNA". It matches the Rfam family "Bacterial large subunit ribosomal RNA", at positions 1226 to 1957 of the family's 2925-position model. The record is from RNAcentral. Lineage: Bacteria; Bacillati; Bacillota; Bacilli; Lactobacillales; Lactobacillaceae.
UGGUAGGAUAGCGUAAUUAACGCGAUGAAGGAUGACCGUAAGGACAUGUUGGAGCGUUAACUAGUGAGAAUUCCGGUAUGAGUAGCGAAAGAUAGGUGAGAAUCCUAUCCACCGAAUGAGUAAGGUUUCCCCCGGAAGGCUCGUCCGCGGGGGGUUAGUCGGGACCUAAGGCGAGGCUGAAAAGCGUAGUCGAUGGACAACAGGUUGAUAUUCCUGUACCGAUAUUUAAUUGCCGAAGGAAGGACGCAGAAGGAUAACACAGGCCACUAUUGGAUGUGGUUUUAAACAGUUAGUCUUCAUAAGAGUCAAAUGCUUUUAUGUUUAAGGAUAAGCUGUGAAUGUACCAAGUUUACUUGGAAAUUGUGUGAUUUCACGCUGCUGAAAAAAGUUUCGUAGGAAGAAAAUAUUGCCCGUACCGCAAACCGACACAGGUACUCAAGUGGAGAACACUAAGGUGAGCGAGUGAACUAUUGUUAAGGAACUCUGCAAAAUGAGUCCGUAACUUCGGAAGAAGGACUGCUGGUUUUAUACCAGCCGCAGCAAAUAGGCCCAAACAACUGUUUAUCAAAAACACAGGUUUCUGCAAAAUCGUAAGAUGAAGUAUAGGGGCUGACGCCUGCCCAGUGCUGGAAGGUUAAAAGGAGGACUUAGCUUCGGCGAAGGUCUUAAUUGAAGCCCCAGUGAACGGCGGCCGUAACUAUAACGGUCCUAAGGU